CUCAGGUGAUGGUCAGGGGGGCCAGCGCUGUGUUUCCCUUCCUGGCAGGGGGAGUUACCGGGCCCUGCGCCCGGCACGGCUCUGGGACCGCUGCCGGGAUCGGCUCCUCGCAGCACGCUGUGCUCCAGAAGAACUGCGGGCUCCACGCUGGCGUCGCUCUCUUCUCCUGGAGGAGGCCAGGAUGUUUUCUUCAGGGCUCGGAGCUCGGUCCUCACUCCUCCGCCCGCUCCUCCGCUGAUCCCGCUGUGCCGGCUGCCUUCUGGGGCUGCGGGACCUGCCCCGGGACUGGCCCCUUCUCCCCUGCUUUUUUUUCAAGUGUGGGACUUCU
This is a long non-coding RNA of Calypte anna (Anna's hummingbird), 328 nucleotides long. RefSeq lists it as uncharacterized. The record is from RefSeq and is a predicted model, not a curated record. Lineage: Eukaryota; Metazoa; Chordata; Aves; Apodiformes; Trochilidae. The transcript is spliced from 3 exons.